This is a long non-coding RNA of Orbicella faveolata, 433 nucleotides long. The record is from RefSeq and is a predicted model, not a curated record. Lineage: Eukaryota; Metazoa; Cnidaria; Anthozoa; Scleractinia; Merulinidae.
UCGUUGUCCUGUAACAUAUUUGUUUCUUUGAAUGAUGCAUUUCUGUGAGUGUCCCUCCACAUUUUAAGUGUCAUUUUGUUUUGUUUUGGUUUUUACCUUGCAAACAGGCAGCGGAGGAAACCUCCAGGGAACUAAGACAGAGUCCGCGAGAGGCACAGUCACACAAUACAUCCCCGAGAACACGGAUUAGACACAUAGUGAAACUUCACAGCUCCGAAUCACCACCCGCUCCAAUCCCCUCACCAUCUCCUCCUCAGAAUGAGAAUCAGAAAGCGUUACAGAAACAGCAAAGAAUCCGAGAGGACGUUCAGACAAAGUUGUUUACUCCAGCGGCCCCGAGGCCAUCCCCUGACGGAGGCGGAGAAAACGACGAAAUUGAUCCGGGUGGAACUGGGCGUACUACGGGUCAAGGAGCUCUCCCUCACACAGAGCA